CUCCUUCUCACCCAUCUCAAAAUUGUGCCAGCUUCUCUCUGAAACCAAACCAUGCCUGAGGCACCAAAGUAUGAAUCUUUAGAUGCUUUCGAUCUGACCCUCGACGAGAAGAACAAGAGGAAACUUCAGUUAAUCGAGGAACUGACCUCAAACGCCGACCAAGUCCAGAAACGUGUCUUGGAGGAGAUCUUGAUCCGUAAUGCUGACGUGGAGUAUCUCAGGCGUCAUGACCUCAACGGUCGCACAGACCGAGAGACGUUCAAGAACGUGAUGCCUGUUAUAACCUAUGAGGAUAUCCAGCCUGAGAUCAACAGGAUUGCUAACGGUGAUAAAUCUCCUAUCCUCUCUUCAAAGCCUAUCUCCGAGUUCCUCACCAGGUUCGUUAUUAACAUCCUCUCUUCUUCUUCUUCUUCUUCUUCUUCUUCUUCUUCAAAAUGCUCUGUUUUGCUCUGUUUUUGCUCUGUUUUGCUCUGUUUUACUCUGUUUUUCAAGAACCUAACGAAGCUUUCUAUAUGUUCUUUGACAGCUCUGGGACAUCUGGUGGGCAGAGGAAGCUAAUGCCGACAAUCGAAGAAGAACUAGACCGGAGAUCACUUCUCUACAGUUUCUUGAUGCCUGUGAUGAGCCAGUUCGUUCCUGGUCUCGACAAAGGCAAAGGAAUGUAUUUCUUGUUCAUCAAGUCUGAAUCCAAGACGCCAGGAGGCCUCCCUGCUCGUCCCGUCUUAACCAGUUACUACAAAUCUUCCCAUUUCAAAGAAAGACCCUUUGACCCUUACACCGACUACACAAGCCCCAACGAGACCAUCCUUUGCCCUGACUCUUACCAGAGCAUGUACUCUCAGAUGCUUUGUGGCUUAUGCCAACACCAGGAGGUUCUUCGUGUCGGUGCCGUUUUCGCCUCUGGUUUCAUCAGAGCUAUCAAGUUUCUUGAGAAGCACUGGAUCGAGCUGGUCCGUGACUUCAGAACCGGUACCUUAAGCUCCCUGAUCACUGAUCCUUCAGUGCGUGAGGCGGUCGCCAAGAUCCUUAAACCUAGUCCAAAACUCGCGGAUUUCGUGGAGUUCGAGUGUAAGAAGAAGUCUUGGCAAGGGAUCAUCACUAGGUUGUGGCCUAACACGAAGUAUGUGGAUGUGAUUGUGACAGGGACGAUGUCUCAGUACAUUCCAACUUUGGAUUACUACAGCAAUGGCUUGCCUCUUGUCUGCACAAUGUAUGCUUCUUCCGAAUGUUACUUUGGUGUGAACCUAAGGCCACUAUGCAAACCUAGCGAGGUCUCUUACACGCUCAUACCAACCAUGGCUUAUUUCGAGUUCUUGCCUGUUCAUAGAAACACAGGUGUUACUAACUCCAUCAAUCUACCUAAAGCACUCACGGAGAAAGAGCAACAAGAGCUUGUUGAUCUUGUUGAUGUUAAACUUGGUCAGGAGUACGAGCUUGUUGUCACCACUUAUGCCGGUAAGAAAAUAAAACAUAUUCUAUAAUAGCACAUAAUUAUUUUCAAAAAUAGUAUAAAAAUUAUAUUUAGAUUUUUGGGUUUAGUGAUUAUGGUUUACUAGUAUCGACUAGGUGGAGGUUAGGGUAAAAUUUAGAAUUCAGAGUAAUUUAGCUUUUCUUUUUUUGGCUAUUUUAGUGAUUUUUCUAUUGUAUGCUAUUUUUGACAUGGUAUAAAUUAUGAUAAGAGAUUUGCCCUAAGAAAAUAGAGAAUUUCUAUUAAUUUAUAACAAAAAAAAAAUACACUUUAAGGGUUUAGUCUUAUGUUUGUGUGCUUUGUGAUUUUGAUGCAGGGCUUUGUAGAUACAGAGUUGGUGAUUUGUUGAGAGUGACUGGAUUCAAGAACAAGGCACCUCAAUUUAGUUUCAUAUGCCGCAAGAAUGUGGUCUUAAGCAUAGAUUCCGACAAGACCGAUGAAGUUGAGCUUCAGAACGCGGUAAAGAACGCAAUGACACAUCUUGUCCCAUUUGAUGCCUCACUCUCUGAGUAUACUAGCUAUGCGGAUACAAGUUCUAUCCCUGGCCAUUACGUCCUGUUCUGGGAGCUAUGUUUGGAUGGAAACACACCGAUCCCUCCUUCUGUCUUUGAGGAUUGCUGCCUAGCCGUGGAAGAGUCGUUCAACUCUGUUUAUAGACAAGGAAGGGUUAGUGACAAGUCCAUAGGCCCACUCGAGAUCAAGAUUGUUGAGCCGGGGUUGCCUAGUUUCACCUUCCUUUCAUUCUCCUCCUCUAUAUAUAUCAACACUUCUCUUUCCUUCUUCCUCACACACUAAAAGCUCCUAACAAACAUAAGCUUAUCUCCUUCUCACCCAUCUCAAAAUUGUGCCAGCUUCUCUCUGAAACCAAACCAUGCCUGAGGCACCAAAGUAUGAAUCUUUAGAUGCUUUCGAUCUGACCCUCGACGAGAAGAACAAGAGGAAACUUCAGUUAAUCGAGGAACUGACCUCAAACGCCGACCAAGUCCAGAAACGUGUCUUGGAGGAGAUCUUGACCCGUAAUGCUGACGUGGAGUAUCUCAGGCGUCAUGACCUCAACGGUCGCACAGACCGAGAGACGUUCAAGAACGUGAUGCCUGUUAUAACCUAUGAGGAUAUCCAGCCUGAGAUCAACAGGAUUGCUAACGGUGAUAAAUCUCCUAUCCUCUCUUCAAAGCCUAUCUCCGAGUUCCUCACCAG
RNAcentral lists this long non-coding RNA (2665 nucleotides) under Brassica napus (rape). RNAcentral's name for it is "long non-coding RNA (BNAP_LNC003032)". The record is from RNAcentral. Lineage: Eukaryota; Viridiplantae; Streptophyta; Magnoliopsida; Brassicales; Brassicaceae.